GGAAGGAUGGCCGAGUGGUUUAAGGCAACGGUCUUGAAAACCGUCGAGUGUAACAGCUCCCAGAGUUCGAAUCUCUGUCUUCCGCCA
RNAcentral lists this transfer RNA (87 nucleotides) under Serratia marcescens subsp. marcescens ATCC 13880. RNAcentral describes it as "tRNA-Ser". It matches the Rfam family "tRNA". From Rfam's summary of the family: Transfer RNA (tRNA) molecules are approximately 80 nucleotides in length. Their secondary structure includes four short double-helical elements and three loops (D, anti-codon, and T loops). The record is from RNAcentral. Lineage: Bacteria; Pseudomonadati; Pseudomonadota; Gammaproteobacteria; Enterobacterales; Yersiniaceae.